GCGGGUAUGGCGGAAUUGGUAGACGUGCAGGAUUUAGGUUCCUGUGGAGCAGUCCGUGUGGGUUCGAGUCCCACUGCCCGCACCA
Molecule: transfer RNA, 85 nt
Filed under: Firmicutes bacterium CAG:114
Lineage: Bacteria; Bacillati; Bacillota
Also listed under: 2 other names
Description: transfer RNA-Leu(TAG)
Rfam family: tRNA
About the family: Transfer RNA (tRNA) molecules are approximately 80 nucleotides in length. Their secondary structure includes four short double-helical elements and three loops (D, anti-codon, and T loops).
Source: RNAcentral